Molecule: transfer RNA, 64 nt
Filed under: Stictonectes samai
Lineage: Eukaryota; Metazoa; Arthropoda; Insecta; Coleoptera; Dytiscidae
Also listed under: 3 other names
Description: tRNA-Trp
Source: RNAcentral
AAGGAUUUAAGUUAAAAAAACUCACAACCUUCAAAGUUGUAAAUAAAGAAAGCUUUAAGCCUUA